CGGUGUGAGGGUGACGAGGCGGUGCUCGAGGUCGCCGACGACGGCCGCGGGAUGAGCGAGGAAGAGCGCGUGCGGGUGUUCGAGCCCUUCUACAGCCG
Molecule: transfer RNA, 98 nt
Filed under: uncultured organism
Also listed under: 1 other name
Description: tRNA-Val
Source: RNAcentral